RNAcentral lists this ribosomal RNA (426 nucleotides) under uncultured Lachnospiraceae bacterium. Its description in RNAcentral is "bacterial SSU rRNA". It matches the Rfam family "Bacterial small subunit ribosomal RNA", at positions 355 to 794 of the family's 1533-position model. The record is from RNAcentral. Lineage: Bacteria; Bacillati; Bacillota; Clostridia; Lachnospirales; Lachnospiraceae.
UGGGGAAUAUUGCACAAUGGGGGGAAACCCGUGAUGCAGCGACGCCGCGUGAAGGAAGAAGUAUUUCGGUAUGUAAACUUCUAUCAGCAGGGAAGAAAAUGACGGUACCUGACUAAGAAGCCCCGGCUAACUACGUGCCAGCAGCCGCGGUAAUACGUAGGGGGCGAAGCGUUAUCCGGAUUUACUGGGUGUAAAGGGAGUGUAGACGGCUUUGCAAGUCAGAUGUGAAAGCCCGGGGCUCAACCCCGGGACUGCAUUUGAAACUGCAGAUGCUAGAGUGUCGGAGAGGUAAGCGGAAUUCCUAGUGUAGCGGUGAAAUGCGUAGAUAUUAGGAGGAACACCAGUGGCGAAGGCGGCUUACUGGACGAUGACUGACGUUGAGGCUCGAAAGCGUGGGGAGCAAACAGGAUUAGAUACCCUGGUAGU